This is a long non-coding RNA of Cydia pomonella (codling moth), 2148 nucleotides long. RefSeq lists it as uncharacterized. The transcript has 2 exons. Lineage: Eukaryota; Metazoa; Arthropoda; Insecta; Lepidoptera; Tortricidae. The record is from RefSeq and is a predicted model, not a curated record.
CCGCAUUCGGAGAUCGCCCACGUAGGACACUUCCAUAGGUAUUAAAUAAUUGAAUUCACCCACGCCGCGCCGCGCCGCGCCGCUUCGCGUUGGCGAGUUAUUCACUCACGUAAGACACUGCCUUAGGGUUCCGUAUCCAACUAGGAACCCUUAUACUCGUAGUUUCACCAUGUCCGGCUGUCCGUCCGUCCGCGGCUUUGCUGCCGUGAUCGUUAGUGCUGGAAAGCUGCAAUUGGCUGCAACGCCAAUAAGAACUUAAAUAAUGUCAGGAAAUAGUUACGUGACUUUUUGUACCAUCUGUCAUCCCCUUACAUUUUUCUUUUAUUUGGCGUGGCGUUGACGUACGAUUGUCAUCUUUACUAGGUUCCCUGAGCUCUUUUGGCAUAGCACGGUAGUAAAAUCGACUCGUGUCAAAAAAAUAGUACAUUCUUCAACGAGGGGGGUAAGUGAAAUAUUAAACACGAAGGUGAUAAUUCCCCACAGCUGCAGGCUGGAGGGAAUUAAAAGACCUGAGUUUGCAAUAUUCUUACCUCCGGAGUUACACAAAAUGUUUUUCAUCACACGGAAGAAACAACUAAAUUAUAAGCGAAAUCAUUCUUAAAUACGGUGACAUUUCAAACAUUCUCCGCCAUAUUGUCAUUCGUUGUCAUCGAAGGCACAAACCUAUCCAGCAUUCAACCACGAUUGAAAAUUAUGUGAAUAAAUUUUAAACGGCUAUUAAAUUAAUGAAAAUAAAUCUUUUUAAACAUAAACAAAAAUAUUAAAUUAGAAACGUCAGUAUUUAAAGAGUAAACCUACAUGGUUCGUAUGAAUUAGUGACAGAAUUGAAAAAAGCUAACUCCCUAGGGAGCUAUAGUUUCUUUUUUCACAAUCCAUAACUCCCACGGGAACAAUAUAGGACUUUGUCCUUUAGUACACCUGCAUGAAAUAAGAUAUUUUGCGAGCAAGUGUGAUGAAUAUAUUUUAACGUUCGUAAGUAUCUGACCCACAGACUUCACUGGUUUGGUCACCUGCUCAGAAUGGGAGAGGAUCGGGCUGUCAAGAGGGCGUUCUUGGGACGACCGACUGGUAGCCGUCUGGUGGGUCGGCUCAGGUGUCGCUGGGAAGACAGUGCUUCGCGUCAGUAGCUGGCAGGAAUUUGCGCAGGAUUAGGACACGUGGCACGCUCUCGUUUCGGAAGCCAAGAUUUUUUUUGGAUCACUGAGCCAAAAUAGUUAGUAAGUAGUUAGUCAAGUAUCUGGCAACGGUGACAACCCUACACGAAAAUGAGAAUUUGCUAAAUGGAUUACAAACCCGGAACCGACGGGUUUGAAUUAAUUAUGUUAUUGUUCUCAUAUUCGAGUUGGCUGACGAUGAAAAUAUUGUUUUACAUACAUCAACCCUCGCUUGUGUGAGGGCCCGAGGGGAUCCACGAGGGAUAUUAUUAGCGUAGCUGCAUUGAAAGUAAUUAAAAUACUACGACAGCUAAACAUUAUAAUUAACUAUUGUUGAAAUGUAAUUUGAUAAUCCGCAGUGCGAAAAGCGGAAUAAAAAGGACGUCUACGUUUAUAAAAAACAUAGACCUAUUAUGACAUUUGGACUGUGUCAAUGUCAAUAAAUAUGAAGAGCCUGUUUCACAAUGUUCAAGUAAAAUCCUGAAUAAACCUUAAACUAUGGAGUGUGGAAUUAAGAGGAGUGGCAUCUCUUAUGGUAGAACUGUUGCAAAAGUGUCCAGCUGUCAGCUAUAAAUAAUAGUUCCAAAUCUCUCCAGAGUAGCGCUAAAGUAGCUAAGAACCUAGGCGUUAUUGACGGAGUGAAUUGUGAAUGUCUAUGAUUUGAUUUUUUUGUUCAAGUACUCUAGGUAUUGUAGCGCCACCUAUUUAAAGUUUUUUGAUGACACUUUUUGGUACAUGGAGAUUUCGUUCCUUAUCUCCACCUUCCGUACCUUAAACCUUAUUUGACGAAUAAAGUCAACGUUGGCGUUUCACAAUCUGAGUCUGAGUCAAGUCGAGCGUUUUCGACUUAAAAUACAAAAGAGCGAUUGAACGUUAGUGAACUACAGAAAUAAGCAUCAUAAUGAGAAUAAAAUCAGAACAACUAAUCCCAGUUAUAGAGGUUUGUUUUAUCUCACUAAAAUAAAUAUAAAAUAGCCUUUUAUUUCUUGCGAAA